Molecule: long non-coding RNA, 1749 nt
Organism: Alosa alosa (allis shad)
Lineage: Eukaryota; Metazoa; Chordata; Actinopteri; Clupeiformes; Clupeidae
Exons: 4
Source: RefSeq, a predicted model, not a curated record
UAACACGAACAAUUUUAAGUAUUACUCAUAUGUCGUUCACUUACAAAUAUAUUCCACAGGUAUGAAAUAUUCCACAGUUGCUGUCUUUCAAUUACGAAACUAUUCUGCCAUUACAAAUCUCUGCUUCUCGCACAAGUAUUUUCUACAAGUAUACAAAUACUUUUGAGACUGUUCUGGCGCUUCCUGUUGAAUAGCCAAUGGCGAUCCUUAAGUUUGGCUAGCCAACCAUGAAUCUCAGUUCACUAACCAAUCACAGAGUAGGAGCAGCGCCGUCGUUGUCUGUGGGUGCAACCAAACUUGGAGUCUACGCUUGAAGCACGCUAGUUUCCUGUAUUCUUUGAGGUAUGUUGGUAGCCUACACCACACAGACAUGUUCUAUGUCCACUAUUCCUUGUUAAUACAGCCAGUGUACCUGAUAUACGGGGCAACGAGGUGAGAUCAAUCAAUGGCAACUAAUGCUGUGGGCAACAGACAAAUAACUAUUAUAUAUAGCAAGCUACAGCUAGUUAGCCAAAUCCCACUCAAUCUCAAUGUGUAGAAUAGCAAUGGUAGCUAAAUUGUCAGUUUAAGCAGCAUACAAGUGCGAACGGAAAUGUAGUGUGUGGAUGGAAAUAGAUAACAACACUCAACAUACUUUUGAAGACAUUUUGUUUCAAGUUUGUAACAAAUGCGGUCAAAGUUUUAAGGGAGUUUGUCAGUCGGUCAUAAGGUAGGCUCAGCAAAAACGAGGCGGGCGGCUAGCAUUAUUAUCAAGAGGUGUGCUAACCAUUAGGCCUUGUAUGUCAGGUCUACCUCCAGAUUGUUAGGUGCUACUUCGGACUUGACGAACUCUUAUAAUAGGCAACCGAAACUCCUCACUGCAGAAAAACCGUAGUAGGUUUGAUGCUCAACAGAUUGCUCUGGAGUUAGUUAUAAGUUAAUAAGUAUCCAUUGAUAUGUGUGACAAAACAUACCAACUGGUGUCAACAUCAGCUAGGCUAUGUUGGCAUUUUCUGAUGGUUCUUCAUGACUGAUCAUAAGGUACAAAAUAAAUAAUACAGAAAUACAGUGCUGGGCAUUGGUAGACAAUCAUAUUCAUCUGUCAUUAUGUAUCUAUUUCUUCUGUGUAAGCAGUUUCUUAUGGAUCCCCAGUUGCUGCCUCCUGAAGCACAGGUUAUUAGAAAGGCUGAAAACCAGACUGGAACAGUCUCUUCAAAGGCAGCCUCUGGAUCUGGACUAUUUAGAGUUCCUCUGUACCAGUGAGUUGAGCCUAGUUCACUGAGUAGUCACACGCCAUUUCCAGAAGAGGUCAUUGGCAGACGGGAAAAGCAGGCCUUAAAAGAGGGCUACAGGAUACUGGGGUGCUCCCAAUGAUAACAGAACGGCCAGAACUGGCUAGAGUUCUGUUCCCACGAGGUGCCUCAUCUCUGAUGAAUCCUAAGAUGAUUUUGAAAAGAGUGGUUUGACCAGAUGAGGCGGAGGUUGACGAAGAUGAAAUGGAAGACUCAUGCCGUGUCACAGCCUACCUCAGACAAAAUGUUGUAAGUGGUAUGACAAAUAUUUCCUAAGACCCCCCCCCCCCAGAUUUUGAAACCUGGCUGAUCAGAGUUGGAUUUGAUGAGAGAUCUGUACUUGAACCACUCGCAGACUGAGAAAUAUGUGAAAAUAUUUUUUCAAAAGUAUCUUUUGUGAUUGUGACCAGAAUGUAUGACACCUUCAAAGAAGCUAUGGAUGCAGCGCUGAAAUAAAGCAAUUAUGGUUUUGGCUUGA